This is a long non-coding RNA of Sitophilus oryzae (rice weevil), 542 nucleotides long. RefSeq lists it as uncharacterized. The record is from RefSeq and is a predicted model, not a curated record. The transcript has 3 exons. NCBI's taxonomy places the organism in Eukaryota, Metazoa, Arthropoda, Insecta, Coleoptera, Curculionidae.
UACAUUUGUAUGACGUUUUAACUCAUACAUUUGAAUCAAAGAAUAUGAUCCAAUAUUUGAAUGUUUGCUAAUUUAUUGGACUUUACAAGUUUAUAUUGUGAUUUAUUAUUUAUCUUAUAAAUUACUUUGUCUAGAGUUAGCAAGUAUAGGAGGAUAUUGUGUCAGAACUUUUAUAUUAUAGUGACAUUAACUUCCGGAAAAACACUUUAAAAUGCAUAAUAGCGCAAUAUGCAGUCCAUGUCAACCAAAAACCGAUAUAAAUGUAGGACAAAGGCAAUUGCAAGGCGGAAUGGCUAGCUCUGUAUAGCUGGAAGUGGAUAAUUUUGGAGUAAUUCAAUCAAAAUCAGGAGAAAAAAGUCAAGUUAAACGAUUUACUUGGACAAAUAGUAAGAAAGUUGCAGUUCAGCUUAUCAACCAUGGCGGUACUAUUACUUCAAUAAAAGUACCAGAUAGGAAUGGAAAAGUUGAGGAUAUAACUACAGGAUAUGAUUCCGUCGAAGGAUACCAGGCACGACCACCUCACCCCUACCCCUACUUUGGAG